RNAcentral lists this ribosomal RNA (403 nucleotides) under Weissella confusa. RNAcentral's name for it is "bacterial SSU rRNA". It matches the Rfam family "Bacterial small subunit ribosomal RNA", at positions 989 to 1395 of the family's 1533-position model. The record is from RNAcentral. Lineage: Bacteria; Bacillati; Bacillota; Bacilli; Lactobacillales; Lactobacillaceae.
UCGUUGCACUCAGAGAUGGAGCGUUCCCUUCGGGGACAAGGUGACAGGUGGUGCAUGGUUGUCGUCAGCUCGUGUCGUGAGAUGUUGGGUUAAGUCCCGCAACGAGCGCAACCCUUAUUACUAGUUGCCAGCAUUCAGUUGGGCACUCUAGUGAGACUGCCGGUGACAAACCGGAGGAAGGUGGGGAUGACGUCAAAUCAUCAUGCCCCUUAUGACCUGGGCUACACACGUGCUACAAUGGCGUAUACAACGAGUUGCCAACCCGCGAGGGUGAGCUAAUCUCUUAAAGUACGUCUCAGUUCGGAUUGUAGGCUGCAACUCGCCUACAUGAAGUCGGAAUCGCUAGUAAUCGCGGAUCAGCACGCCGCGGUGAAUACGUUCCCGGGUCUGUUACACACCGAUA